Molecule: ribosomal RNA, 399 nt
Filed under: uncultured bacterium
Lineage: Bacteria
Description: bacterial SSU rRNA
Rfam family: Bacterial small subunit ribosomal RNA
Source: RNAcentral
UGGGGAAUAUUGCGCAAUGGGGGAAACCCUGACGCAGCAACGCCGCGUGAAGGAAGAAGGUUCUCGGAUUGUAAACUUCUUUUACUCGGGACGAAAAAAAUGACGGUACCGGGUGAAUAGGCCACGGCUAACUACGUGCCAGCAGCCGCGGUAAUACGUAGGUGGCAAGCGUUGUCCGGAUUUACUGGGUGUAAAGGGCGAGUAGGCGGGACUGCAAGUCAGUAGUGAAAUACCACGGCUCAACCGUGGCACUGCUAUUGAAACUGUGGUUCUUGAGUAAUGGAGAGGCAGGCGGAAUUCCCGGUGUAGCGGUGGAAUGCGUAGAGAUCGGGAGGAACACCGAGUGGCGAAGGCGGCCUGGCUGGACAUCAACUGACGCUGAGGAGCGAAAGCGUGGGG